RNAcentral lists this unclassified non-coding RNA (349 nucleotides) under soil metagenome. Its description in RNAcentral is "partial contains 5.8S ribosomal RNA, internal transcribed spacer 2, and large subunit ribosomal RNA". The stretch from base 1 to 120 matches the Rfam family "5.8S ribosomal RNA", at positions 35 to 154 of the family's 154-position model. The record is from RNAcentral.
GAUGAAGAACGUAGCGAAAUGCGAUAAGUAAUGUGAAUUGCAGAAUUCAGUGAAUCAUCGAAUCUUUGAACGCACAUUGCGCCCAUUAGUAUUCUAGUGGGCAUGCCUGUUCGAGCGUCAUUUCAACCCUUAAGCCUAGCUUAGUGUUGGGAGACUGCCUAAUACGCAGCUCCUCAAAACCAGUGGCGGAGUCUGUUCGUGCUCUGAGCGUAGUAAUUUUUUAUCUCGCUUCUGCAAGCCGGCCAGACGACAGCCAUAAACCGCACCCUCUCGGGGGGCACUUUUUUAAUGGUUGACCUCGGAUCAGGUAGGAAUACCCGCUGAACUUAAGCAUAUCAUAAGCGGAGGA